This 466-nucleotide ribosomal RNA is filed under the name uncultured bacterium. Its description in RNAcentral is "bacterial SSU rRNA". It matches the Rfam family "Bacterial small subunit ribosomal RNA", at positions 8 to 521 of the family's 1533-position model. The record is from RNAcentral.
AGAGUUUGAUCCUGGCUCAGGAUGGACGCUGGCGGCGUGCUUAACACAUGCAAGUCGAACGAACCUUCGGGUUAGUGGCGGACGGGUGAGUAACGCGUGAGAAUCUGCCCUCAGGAGGGGGAUAACGGUUGGAAACGACCGCUAAUACCCCAUAUGCCUACUGGUGAAACGAAUUUCGCCUGAGGAUGAGCUCGCGUCUGAUUAGCUAGUUGGUGAGGUAAUGGCUCACCAAGGCUUCGAUCAGUAGCUGGUCUGAGAGGAUGAUCAGCCACACUGGGACUGAGACACGGCCCAGACUCCUACGGGAGGCAGCAGUGGGGAAUUUUCCGCAAUGGGCGAAAGCCUGACGGAGCAACGCCGCGUGAGGGACGAAGGCCUCUGGGCUGUAAACCUCUUUUCUCAAGGAAGAAGAUAUGACGGUACUUGAGGAAUAAGCCACGGCUAAUUCCGUGCCAGCAGCCGCGGU